GAUGAAGAACGUAGCGAAAUGCGAUAAGUAGUGUGAAUUGCAGAAUUCCGUGAAUCAUCGAAUCUUUGAACGCACAUUGCGCCCGCCAGUAUUCUGGCGGGCAUGCCUGUUCGAGCGUCAUUUCAACCAUCAAGCCCCCGGCUUGUGUUGGGGACCUGCGGCUGCCGCAGGCCCUGAAAAGCAGUGGCGGGCUCGCUGUCACACCGAGCGUAGUAGCAUACAUCUCGCUCUGGGCGUGCUGCGGGUUCCGGCCGUUAAACCACCUUCAUAACCCAAGGUUGACCUCGGAUCAGGUAGGAAGACCCGCUGAACUUAAGCAUAUCAAUAAGCGGAGGA
This 336-nucleotide unclassified non-coding RNA is filed under the name soil metagenome. RNAcentral's name for it is "partial contains 5.8S ribosomal RNA, internal transcribed spacer 2, and large subunit ribosomal RNA". The stretch from base 1 to 120 matches the Rfam family "5.8S ribosomal RNA", at positions 35 to 154 of the family's 154-position model. The record is from RNAcentral.